RNAcentral lists this ribosomal RNA (935 nucleotides) under Discina ancilis. RNAcentral describes it as "eukaryotic LSU rRNA". It matches the Rfam family "Eukaryotic large subunit ribosomal RNA", at positions 30 to 972 of the family's 3401-position model. Lineage: Eukaryota; Fungi; Ascomycota; Pezizomycetes; Pezizales; Discinaceae. The record is from RNAcentral.
GAACUUAAGCAUAUCAAUAAGCGGAGGAAAAGAAACCAACAGGGAUUGCCUCAGUAACGGCGAGUGAAGCGGCAACAGCUCAAAUUUUAAAGCCGGCGUCCUCGACGCCCGCGUUGUAAUUUGGAGAGGCAUCUUCGGUUUGGGCGCCAGCCUAUGUUCCUUGGAACAGGACGUCACAGAGGGUGAGAAUCCCGUGCUUGGCUGGCUGUCCCUCUCCAUGUGAAGUGUCUUCGACGAGUCGAGUUGUUUGGGAAUGCAGCUCAAAAUGGGUGGUAAAUUUCAUCUAAAGCUAAAUAUUGGCGGGAGACCGAUAGCGCACAAGUAGAGUGAUCGAAAGAUGAAAAGCACUUUGAAAAUAGAGUUAAAAAGUACGUGAAAUUGUUGAAAGGGAAGCGCUUGAGACCAGACUCGGUCGAGGACGAUCAGCGGCCCUUCUGGGCCGUGCACUCGUCCUCGGUUCGGGCCAGCAUCGGUUGAGACGGCGGGAUAAAGGCCCGGGGAAUGUGGCUCCUCUCGGGGAGUGUUAUAGCCUCGGGCGCAAUGCCGCCAGCCUCGACCGAGGACCGCGCUCUUUUGCUAGGAUGCUGGCGUAAUGGUCUUCAGCGACCCGUCUUGAAACACGGACCAAGGAGUCUAACAUCUAUGCGAGUGUUUGGGUGUCAAACCCUUGCGCGUAAUGAAAGUGAACGGAGGUGGGAACCCCUCCUCUGGGGGGGCGCACCAUCGACCGAUCCUGAUGUCUUCGGAUGGAUUUGAGUAGGAGCAUAGCUGUUGGGACCCGAAAGAUGGUGAACUAUGCCUGAAUAGGGUGAAGCCAGAGGAAACUCUGGUGGAGGCUCGCAGCGGUUCUGACGUGCAAAUCGAUCGUCAAAUUUGGGUAUAGGGGCGAAAGACUAAUCGAACCAUCUAGUAGCUGGUUCCUGCCGAAGUUYCCC